UACGUAGGGAGCAAGCGUUGUCCGGAAUCAUUGGGCGUAAAGGCGCGCGUAGGUGGCCUCAUAAGUCCGCUGUGAAAGUCAAAGGCUCAACCUUUGAAAGCCGGUGGAUACUGUGUAGGCUAGAGUACGGAAGGAGGCGAAGUGGAAUUCCUGGUGUAGCGGUGGAAUGCGCAGAUAUCAGGAGGAACACCAUAGCGAAGGCAGGCUCGCUGGGACGUUACUGACACUGAGGCGCGAAAGCGUGGGGAGCGAACAGG
This 257-nucleotide ribosomal RNA is filed under the name uncultured bacterium. RNAcentral describes it as "partial 16S ribosomal RNA". It matches the Rfam family "Bacterial small subunit ribosomal RNA", at positions 524 to 776 of the family's 1533-position model. The record is from RNAcentral.